GCCAUCGUGGCGCAAUGGUAGCGCAUCACCUUCCUAACCAGGGGAACGUUGUAGGUGGCGGUUGCGGGUUCGAGCCCCGUCGAUGGUA
Non-coding RNA from Trametes coccinea BRFM310, 88 nucleotides. The record is from the annotation of a GenBank genome assembly. NCBI's taxonomy places the organism in Eukaryota, Fungi, Basidiomycota, Agaricomycetes, Polyporales, Polyporaceae.